Molecule: ribosomal RNA, 569 nt
Filed under: Micrococcus flavus
Lineage: Bacteria; Bacillati; Actinomycetota; Actinomycetes; Micrococcales; Micrococcaceae
Description: bacterial SSU rRNA
Rfam family: Bacterial small subunit ribosomal RNA
Source: RNAcentral
AACACGUGAGUAACCUGCCCUUGACUCUGGGAUAAGCCCGGGAAACUGGGUCUAAUACCGGAUAGGAGCGCCUGUCGCAUGACGGGUGUUGGAAAGAUUUUUCGGUCAUGGAUGGACUCGCGGCCUAUCAGCUUGUUGGUGAGGUAAUGGCUCACCAAGGCGACGACGGGUAGCCGGCCUGAGAGGGUGACCGGCCACACUGGGACUGAGACACGGCCCAGACUCCUACGGGAGGCAGCAGUGGGGAAUAUUGCACAAUGGGCGGAAGCCUGAUGCAGCGACGCCGCGUGAGGGAUGACGGCCUUCGGGUUGUAAACCUCUUUCAGUAGGGAAGAAGCGAAAGUGACGGUACCUGCAGAAGAAGCACCGGCUAACUACGUGCCAGCAGCCGCGGUAAUACGUAGGGUGCGAGCGUUAUCCGGAAUUAUUGGGCGUAAAGAGCUCGUAGGCGGUUUGUCGCGUCUGUCGUGAAAGUCCGGGGCUUAACCCCGGAUCUGCGGUGGGUACGGGCAGACUAGAGUGCAGUAGGGGAGACUGGAAUUCCUGGUGUAGCGGUGGAAUGCGCAGAU